CUUCACAAUACCCCAGUAUGUGAAGACAUCGAGGAUGACAUAAUUUGGAAGCUCACUUCUAGUGGUCACUACUUCGCGACCUUUGCUUACCAAGUUCAGUUUUUGGGAACCAUACACACCUCCAUAAAUACAAUGGUUUGGAAGCUGUGGGCACCUUCCAAGGUCAAGUUCUUCGCUUGGCUUGCCAUUCAAGAUAGGAUUUGGACUGCUUGCCUAAGCGGGGAUGGCCACAUUUUGGUCUUUGUCCCCUAUGCAAAAGAGCAAAUGAAAGCGUGGCACAUCUGUUCUACAAAUGUUGCUACACUUUGA
Molecule: ribosomal RNA, 309 nt
Filed under: Triticum aestivum (bread wheat)
Lineage: Eukaryota; Viridiplantae; Streptophyta; Magnoliopsida; Poales; Poaceae
Description: partial small subunit ribosomal RNA
Source: RNAcentral